UUAAGCUCAGUACAGCUUUUAAGUAUAUUGAUUUAAAUUAGAAUUCGUGUUUUUAUUUUGAAACUAAUAGCAUAUAACCACAUUAAUUAUGAUAAAAGUUGUAAAUCAUUUUUCAUUAACUAAUUAUAGUGCCAGCAGUUGCGGUUAUACUAUAAAUGAAUUUAUACACCUAUUUUCUUAAAUAAUACUUUUUUAAAAAAUUAAAUAUUAAGUGAAAUUUUAUUUCCCUUUUAUAAAAAUUUUAUAUUUACAGAAAAAAUUAAAAACUUAAAACAGGAUUAGAUACCCUUUUAUAUUUUAUUAACUUCGGUAGUAAUUUUUUAUUAUAAAACUAAUGUAGUUUGGCGGCAUUUAUUCAUAUUAGAGGAACCUGUCUUUUAAUCGAUUUUACACGAUAUUUUUCACUCUUAUUUAUAUUUUAUAUACCUCCAUCUCAAGGAUUAAUAAUUAUAUUUUCUUCAAAAUAGAUUUUUCCUAACAAGUUAGGUAAAGGUGUAAACUAUAUAAUAGAUAAGAUGGGUUACUUUAAAAUCAAUUUAAGGAUUUACUAUAAAAAUUUUUUUGAAAAGGGAUUUAUAAGUAAUUUUCAUAAUAAUAUUUUAAAAUGAACUUGAUAAACAAUGUGCACAUAUCGCCCGUCACCCUUAUCUAAAGGUAAGGUAAGUCGUAACAUAGUUGGUGUUUUGGAAAAAGCAUCAAG
RNAcentral lists this ribosomal RNA (700 nucleotides) under Neoscona adianta. RNAcentral's name for it is "12S ribosomal RNA". The record is from RNAcentral. Lineage: Eukaryota; Metazoa; Arthropoda; Arachnida; Araneae; Araneidae.